Molecule: ribosomal RNA, 472 nt
Filed under: uncultured bacterium
Lineage: Bacteria
Description: bacterial SSU rRNA
Rfam family: Bacterial small subunit ribosomal RNA
Source: RNAcentral
UGGGGAAUUUUUCGCAAUGGGCGCAAGCCUGACGAAGCAACGCCGCGUGGAGGAUGAAGGUCUUCGGAUUGUAAACUCCUGUCGACCGGGACGAAUGCACCCGACCUAAUACGUCGAAGUGUUGACGGUACCGGUGGAGGAAGCCACGGCUAACUCUGUGCCAGCAGCCGCGGUAAUACAGAGGUGGCAAGCGUUGUUCGGAAUUACUGGGCGUAAAGGGCGCGUAGGCGGCCUGAUAAGUCUCGUGUGAAAGCCCUCGGCUUAACUGAGGAUCUGCACGGGAUACUGUUGGGCUUGAGUUCGGGAGAGGAAAGCGGAAUUCCGGGUGUAGCGGUGAAAUGCGUAGAUAUCCGGAGGAACACCAGUGGCGAAGGCGGCUUUCUGGACCGACACUGACGCUGAGGCGCGAAAGCUAGGGGAGCAAACGGGAUUAGAUACCCCCGUAGUCCCUGAGCGGGCUGGCAAGGCGCAU